AUGGCUAGGGGGUCAUUGCGACUUACCAAACCAUUGCAAACUCCGAAUACCGAUGAGUGCGAGCUUGGGAGACAGACGUCGGGUGCUAACGUCCGGCGUCAAGAGGGAAACAACCCAGACCGCCAGCUAAGGUCCCAAAGAUUGGCUAAGUGGAAAACGAAGUGGGAAGGCUAAAACAGUCAGGAUGUUGGCUUAGAAGCAGCCAUCAUUUAAAGAAAGCGUAAUAGCUCACUGAUCGAGUCGUCCUGCGCGGAAGAUGUAACGGGG
This 267-nucleotide ribosomal RNA is filed under the name Mesorhizobium sp. RNAcentral's name for it is "partial 23S ribosomal RNA". It matches the Rfam family "Bacterial large subunit ribosomal RNA", at positions 915 to 1180 of the family's 2925-position model. Lineage: Bacteria; Pseudomonadati; Pseudomonadota; Alphaproteobacteria; Hyphomicrobiales; Phyllobacteriaceae. The record is from RNAcentral.